GGCGGACGGGUGAGUAAUACUUAGGAAUCUGCCCAUUAGUGGGGGACAACUCGGGGAAACUCGAGCUAAUACCGCAUACGCCCUACGGAGGAAAGCGGGGGAUCUUCGGACCUCGCGCUAAUGGAUGAGCCUAAGUCGGAUUAGCUUGUUGGUGAGGUAAAGGCUCACCAAGGCGACGAUCCGUAGCUGGUCUGAGAGGACGAUCAGCCACACUGGGACUGAGACACGGCCCAG
This 234-nucleotide ribosomal RNA is filed under the name uncultured bacterium. RNAcentral describes it as "partial 16S ribosomal RNA". It matches the Rfam family "Bacterial small subunit ribosomal RNA", at positions 97 to 334 of the family's 1533-position model. The record is from RNAcentral.